UCACCGAUGAUGCUGAGCGCCUCCUUCAGCGC
RNAcentral lists this non-coding RNA (32 nucleotides) under Homo sapiens (human). Lineage: Eukaryota; Metazoa; Chordata; Mammalia; Primates; Hominidae. The record is from RNAcentral.